Molecule: long non-coding RNA, 826 nt
Filed under: Nicotiana tabacum (common tobacco)
Lineage: Eukaryota; Viridiplantae; Streptophyta; Magnoliopsida; Solanales; Solanaceae
Description: long non-coding RNA (NTAB_LNC006941)
Source: RNAcentral
GGUGUUUAAACAGAAGGUGUUCGACAAGGAACAAUUUUAAUAGGAUGUACAACUUGUAUAGCACAAGGGCAAGGUACAACUCGGCGAAGCACAGGCAGAUUCUUUUAUACACGGAUUUAGCUCACUUUUCUUCAUUUCUUCAAAGUAUGAACGAUUUUUGGGGAGCUUCAAGAGGGGAUUUUCAAAUCAUCAAUGUGAAGGUAAGUUAUCCCCACCUAUUUUGAGUUAAGUACAUCAAUUAUGUAUGGAUUUGAGCAUGAAAAUUGUAGAAAAAUUGAGGAUUUAAGCCUAGGGAUUUAAAAAUAAGAUUUGGUGAUUUGAGGGGUCAAAUGAACUCCGAUUUUGGUAAAUUUUAUAUGUAUGGACUCGUGGCGAGACGAGGAAUCUGGUGAUGUGACUUUCGUAAUUUUUCAAGAAGUGGGCCCGGGGCUCGGGUUUUGCAAAUUUCGUGAUUUUCGAUAUUUUUCGAGUCUUUUCGAUUGGGUUAUAUUCCCUUAGCCUAUUGUGAUAUAUUCCUUGUGGUUUUGGAAAGAUUCGACGCGCGAGGAGGUCGAUUCGAAAGGAAAGGGCAUCGCGGAGUAGACUUUUGGCCAUCUUGAGGUGAGUAAUAGAUGUAAAUGCUGUUCUGAGGGUUUGAAACCCCGGACUUUCACAUCGUAACACUAUAUUGAGGCGUGACACGUACUCCAUGGUGAGUGCAGGGUCGGAUACUAUUGGAGAUUGUGACUUGGUCCAUCCCGUGUGAUGUUUAUACUAUACUGGUGAUUGAUACACAUACUUCAUUGAUAUUACUGGGCUUGAUGCCAUGUUUGGGGCCUUGUGCCGA